UACGUAGGGGGCAAGCGUUAUCCGGAUUUAUUGGGUUUAAAGGGUGCGUAGGCGGUCCGGAAAGUCAGCGGUAAAAGCCCGGUGCUCAACGCCGUCGAGCCGUUGAAACUGGCGUUCUUGAGUGGGCGAGAAGUACGCGGAAUGCGCGGUGUAGCGGUGAAAUGCAUAGAUAUCGCGCAGAACUCCGAUUGCGAAGGCAGCAUGCCGGCUCCACACUGACGCUGAGGCACGAAAGCGUGGGUAUCGAACAGG
This 252-nucleotide ribosomal RNA is filed under the name uncultured Bacteroidales bacterium. RNAcentral describes it as "partial 16S ribosomal RNA". It matches the Rfam family "Bacterial small subunit ribosomal RNA", at positions 524 to 776 of the family's 1533-position model. Lineage: Bacteria; Pseudomonadati; Bacteroidota; Bacteroidia; Bacteroidales. The record is from RNAcentral.